GGAAGGGCCACAGCUCGGUGGUAGAGCUUCUGCUCUGUAUGCAAAAGGCCUCAGGUUCAAUCCCUGAUCUUUCCA
Molecule: non-coding RNA, 75 nt
Organism: Podarcis lilfordi (Lilford's wall lizard)
Lineage: Eukaryota; Metazoa; Chordata; Lepidosauria; Squamata; Lacertidae
Source: the annotation of a GenBank genome assembly